GGGUGGAGUAAAGCCCUAGGAAUCUGCGUGGUAGUGGGGGGAUAACGUUCCCGAAAGGAACGGUAAUACCGCAUACGUCGUACGGGAGAAAGCAGGGGACGUUCGGGCCUUGCGCUAUCAGAUGAGCCUAGGUCGGAUUAGCUAGUUGGUGAGGUAAUGGCUCACCAAGGCGACGAUCCGUAACUGGUCUGAGAGGAUGAUCAGUCACACUGGAACUGAGACACGGUCCAGACUCUUACGGGAGGCAGCAGUGGGGAAUAUUGGACAAUGGGCGAAAGCCUGAUCCAGCCAUGCCGCGUGUGUGAAGAAGGUCUUCGGAUUGUAAAGCACUUUAAGUUGGGAGGAAGGGCAUUAACUUAAUA
Molecule: ribosomal RNA, 362 nt
Filed under: uncultured bacterium
Lineage: Bacteria
Description: bacterial SSU rRNA
Rfam family: Bacterial small subunit ribosomal RNA
Source: RNAcentral